Molecule: ribosomal RNA, 253 nt
Filed under: uncultured bacterium
Lineage: Bacteria
Description: partial 16S ribosomal RNA
Rfam family: Bacterial small subunit ribosomal RNA
Source: RNAcentral
UACGUAGGGGCCGAGCGUUGUCCGGAGUUACUGGGCGUAAAGCGCGCGCAGGCGGCUCGUCAAGCCUGACGUGAAAGCCCCCGGCUCAACCGGGGAGGGUCGUCGGGGACUGGCGGGCUUGAGGUCGGCAGGGGCUGGUGGAAUUCCAGGUGUAGCGGUGAAAUGCGUAGAUAUCUGGAGGAACACCGGUGGCGAAGGCGACAUCCUGGACCGGUAUUGACGCUGAGGCGCGAAAGCCAGGGGAGCAAACGGG